Molecule: ribosomal RNA, 247 nt
Filed under: uncultured bacterium
Lineage: Bacteria
Description: partial 16S ribosomal RNA
Rfam family: Bacterial small subunit ribosomal RNA
Source: RNAcentral
ACGGAGGAUGCGAGCGUUAUCCGGAUUUAUUGGGUUUAAAGGGUGCGUAGGCGGCAUUAUAAGUUAGUGGUAAAAUAUUGGGGCUUCACCUCACUACGCCAUUAAUACUGUAGAGCUAGAGAACAGACGAGGUAGGCGGAAUAAGUUAAGUAGCGGUGAAAUGCAUAGAUAUAACUUAGAACACCGAUAGCGAAGGCAGCUUACCAGACUGAGUCUGACGCUGAUGCACGAGAGCAUGGGUAGCGAA